This 86-nucleotide transfer RNA is filed under the name Desmophyllum pertusum. RNAcentral describes it as "Lophelia pertusa tRNA". It matches the Rfam family "tRNA". From Rfam's summary of the family: Transfer RNA (tRNA) molecules are approximately 80 nucleotides in length. Their secondary structure includes four short double-helical elements and three loops (D, anti-codon, and T loops). Lineage: Eukaryota; Metazoa; Cnidaria; Anthozoa; Scleractinia; Caryophylliidae. The record is from Rfam by way of RNAcentral.
CCUUCGAUAGCUCAGUUGGUAGAGCGGAGGACUGUAGUGGAUAGCAGCUUAUCCUUAGGUCGCUGGUUCAAAUCCGGCUCGAAGGA